RNAcentral lists this long non-coding RNA (862 nucleotides) under Pan troglodytes (chimpanzee). RNAcentral describes it as "lncRNA (ENSPTRG00000053737.1)". Lineage: Eukaryota; Metazoa; Chordata; Mammalia; Primates; Hominidae. The record is from RNAcentral.
CAGGAAUUUAUUUCUCACAGCUUCUGAAGUCUGGGAAGUCCAAGCUCAAGGUGAAGCCUCCUCAGGUGGCAAAGAGCAGAAGCACAAAAGAGACCAAACUCCCUCCCUCAAGCUCUUUUACAAGAACACUGAGACAUUCACAAGUGCUGAGUCCUCAAACCUACUAACCUCCUGAAGGCUACACCUCAAAUACGGAUUAAAUUUUCGCAUGAGUUUUGAGGGACACCCAUUCAAAGCAUAGCACCCUUCGGCUUCAGAGAAGCUCCAGCCCUGUUGUCACCAAGCAGGUUCCCCCUAGGCAGAGCGCCAAGAAGCAGCCCAGGCGAUCCCAAGGCGCACAAGUGCUCUCACCAGGCUGCGCGCUGGCGGGUCGGUGCACAGGGACGGGGUCGCCGCCCACGCGCGCUUGGUUCAGGGAGCCCAGGCUGUCCCUACCCGCGGCUACAAAAGCUCGCCGAGUCUUCCUGUCCACCCAAUCGCCCCACAUGUCAGCGGUUGGUCGCCUCGCGGUGCAGUGCUGGGCACGCGAGCCCCUCCCGCAGUCAUUCUCAGCACAAGCACCAGCCUGGAGCCCCGCAGCGACAGAGCUGAGAGCCCCCAAGCCGCAGAGGUCGUGCGGAGCAGGUUGCAAAUGUCUUAGAAACACACUCCUGGACCACAGCUUCAAGAGACGCAAGCAGUCACCUCAUCUGCUGGUUUCCAAGCUGCCCUGCCAGAAGCAGGUCAGGGGUCCCACAGGGGUCCUCAGUAACUCCUCAAAAUCCUCUCCCAUCAAUGGCCCCACCAGAUCAUCCCUACUUUUGAAUGCUUGUCCAAUGCAGGUUCCAGGUAAGAUUUCCUUUCACAAGUGACUUCCAUGGCU